Molecule: long non-coding RNA, 274 nt
Organism: Sinocyclocheilus rhinocerous
Lineage: Eukaryota; Metazoa; Chordata; Actinopteri; Cypriniformes; Cyprinidae
Exons: 3
Source: RefSeq, a predicted model, not a curated record
CCAUGUCCAGUGUGUGGACAACUGUGAUGGUCGAGAUGGACAAGUGGUGUUUGACUCAUUUCACAAUUAUUUUCAUUCCAUCAGUCAACCAAAUAUUUCUAUUCAAUGCCUGGAGAAUCCAGAGGGUGAAGAUGGAAUAGUGGUGUUGGAGUCAGAAUCAUUUCCCAAUCAUUUCCAUUACACUGGUCAAACAAAUGCUUCUGUUUAAUGCCUGGAAAAGAGGGUAAAGAUGGAGUAUUGAUUAGCCAUGAAUCCUUUCCAAUGCUCUUGUCGA